GACGAACGCUGGCGGCGUGCUUAACACAUGCGAGUCGAACGGAAAGGCCCUGCUUUUGUGGGGUGCUCGAGUGGCGAACGGGUGAGUAACACGUGAGUAACCUGCCCUUGACUUUGGGAUAACUUCAGGAAACUGGGGCUAAUACCGGAUAGGAGCUCCUGCUGCAUGGUGGGGGUUGGAAAGUUUCGGCGGUUGGGGAUGGACUCGCGGCUUAUCAGCUUGUUGGUGGGGUAGUGGCUUACCAAGGCUUUGACGGGUAGCCGGCCUGAGAGGGUGACCGGCCACAUUGGGACUGAGAUACGGCACAGACUCCUACGGGAGGCAGCGGUGGGGAAUAUUGCACAAUGGGCGGAAGCCUGAUGCAGCAACGCCGCGUGCGGGAUGACGGCCUUCGGGUUGUAAACCGCUUUCGCCUGUGACGAAGCGUGAGUGACGGUAAUGGGUAAAGAAGCACCGGCUAACUACGUG
This 468-nucleotide ribosomal RNA is filed under the name uncultured bacterium. RNAcentral describes it as "partial 16S ribosomal RNA". It matches the Rfam family "Bacterial small subunit ribosomal RNA", at positions 28 to 507 of the family's 1533-position model. The record is from RNAcentral.